GACGAACGCUGGCGGCGUGCCUAACACAUGCAAGUCGAACGAGGUCCAAGGAAGCUUGCUUCCUGAAGACCUAGUGGCGAACGGGUGAGUAACACGUGAGAAACCUGCCUCGGAGUGGGGAAUAACUCGGGGAAACUCGAGCUAAUACCGCAUACCUUCACAUGAUCGCAUGGUCGAGUGAAGAAAGAAUUUCGCUCUGAGAGGGUCUCGCGGCCUAUCAGCUUGUUGGUGGGGUAACGGCCUACCAAGGCAACGACGGGUAGCUGGUUUGAGAGAACGAUCAGCCACACUGGGACUGAGACACGGCCCAGACUCCUACGGGAGGCAGCAGUGGGGAAUCUUGCGCAAUGGCGAAAGCCUGACGCAGCAACGCCGCGUGCGGGAUGACGGCCUUCGUGGUUGU
This 403-nucleotide ribosomal RNA is filed under the name uncultured bacterium. Its description in RNAcentral is "bacterial SSU rRNA". It matches the Rfam family "Bacterial small subunit ribosomal RNA", at positions 28 to 426 of the family's 1533-position model. The record is from RNAcentral.